Molecule: ribosomal RNA, 433 nt
Filed under: uncultured bacterium
Lineage: Bacteria
Description: partial 16S ribosomal RNA
Rfam family: Bacterial small subunit ribosomal RNA
Source: RNAcentral
AACGAACGCUGGCGGCAUGCCUAACACAUGCAAGUCGAACGAGACCUUCGGGUCUAGUGGCGCACGGGUGCGUAACGCGUGGGAAUCUGCCCUUGGGUUCGGAAUAACAGUUGGAAACGACUGCUAAUACCGGAUGAUGACGAAAGCCCAAAGAUUUAUCGCCCAAGGAUGAGCCCGAGUAGGAUUAGCUGGUUGGUGAGGUAAAGGCCCACCAAGGCGACGAUCCUUAGCUGGUCUGAGAGGAUGAUCAGCCACACUGGGACUGGGACACGGCCCAGACUCCUACGGGAGGCAGCAGUGGGGAAUAUUGGACAAUGGGCGAAAGCCUGAUCCAGCAAGGCCGCGUGAGUGAUGAAGGCCUUAGGGUUGUAAAGCUCUUUUACCCGGGAUGAUAAUGACAGUACCGGGAGAAUAAGCUCCGGCUAACUCCGUG